RNAcentral lists this ribosomal RNA (468 nucleotides) under uncultured bacterium. Its description in RNAcentral is "partial 16S ribosomal RNA". It matches the Rfam family "Bacterial small subunit ribosomal RNA", at positions 28 to 507 of the family's 1533-position model. The record is from RNAcentral.
GACGAACGCUGGCGGCGUGCUUAACACAUGCAAGUCGAACGGAAAGGCCCUGCUUUUGUUGGGUGCUCGAGUGGCGAACGGGUGAGUAACACGUGAGUAACCUGCCCUUGACUUUGGGAUAACUUCAGGAAACUGGGGCUAAUACCGGAUAGGAUCUCCUGCUGCAUGGUGGGGGUUGGAAAGUUUCGGCGGUUGGGGAUGGACUCGCGGCUUAUCAGCUUGUUGGUGGGGUAGUGGCUUACCAAGGCUUUGACGGGUAGCCGGCCUGAGAGGGUGACCGGGCACAUUGGGACUGAGAUACGGCCCAGAAUCCUACGGGAGGCAGCAGUGGGGAAUAUUGCACAAUGGGCGGAAGCCUGAUGCAGCAACGCCGCGUGCGGGAUGACGGCCUUCGGGUUGUAAACCGCUUUCGAAUGUGACGAAGCGUGAGUGACGGUAAUGGGUAAAGAAGCACCGGCUAACUACGUG